Helicoverpa armigera (cotton bollworm) is the source of this 1551-nucleotide long non-coding RNA. RefSeq lists it as uncharacterized. The transcript has 2 exons. Lineage: Eukaryota; Metazoa; Arthropoda; Insecta; Lepidoptera; Noctuidae. The record is from RefSeq and is a predicted model, not a curated record.
AGUAAAAUGAAACCCGCUUUCCGUUGUCACGACCUAACAUGAAAACGGCUUGACCAAUUUUGCUGAAAAUUAGAGGGGAGGUAACUUAGACCCGGGAGAAGGUUAGUCACCAUCCGGCUACGGGACGCGGGUGAAACAGCGGGAAAGCUAGUGUACAAUAAUGAUGUACCCGCCUAAUUUGUUAUCUUUAUCUUUAGAGCACUGACCGUGUCUAAGGGCGCCCACACACAACUGCGACGCAGUGCUACUUUGUUCGGCAACCCGUUUGGCAUGGUAACCAUACUUUCAACUAUAUUCAGCCGUAAUGGACGUGUUUUUAGGAUUCGUAAGAUUUAUCUUGCUCGCUUUUCGUUGAACAUGCUGGGCGCAUCCAUUUAUUACCACUAUGGACUCUGAUAGGAACUAUUUUACUCGAAAGUAGGUACAAUGGGUUGAGAGCAACCCAGAUUUUUUUUUUUUUAAUUAUGUAGGUUGAGCAUAUCUUCAUUUGAAGAGCUUUUGAGUUUAUUAUCAACAAGACCCAUGCCCACAAAAUGAUACACUCGAAAGUAUGAUUACCCUACUAAACGGUUUGCCGGACCAAAUCGCAUCGCAGAAAUUUGAAUGGGGCCGAUACAAAAAUGCGAUGCGAUGCGACGUCGCAUAGCAGUUUUGUGUGGGCUCCCUUAAGCUAUUCUUUUGUUUGAUUAAAAAAUUUCAUAUAACACAUACAUACCUAUAUAAGAUAGGUAGUUAUGUACCUACUUAUCUCACUCUCCGAAACUAUUAAAAGAUUUGAUUUUUUUUACAAAUUUACACUACCUUAUAGUAUUCGUGCAAUUGUUGACAUAAUUUUUAUUUGCUGGAUAAUAAAUCAUCAGCUGGUAAGUCAUUUUUAAUAAUGUUAUAAUUAGCAGACAUUCAGCUUAGUUUCAUACUGUUUAGAAUAAAGUGUUAUUCUAAACAGUUUUAUUUUUCUGUAUAUAUAAAAAUGAAACCCGCUUUCCAUUGUCACGACAUAAUAUGAAAACGGCUUGACCGAUUUUGCUGAAAAUAACAGGGGAGGUAACUUAGACCCGGGAGAAAGUUUUAGAAUAGUUUUUGUCACCAUCCGGCUACGGGACGCGGGUGAAACGGCGGGACAGCUAGUGUUUAUUGUUAUCUUUAUCUUUAGCACACUGACCGUGUCUAAGGGCGCCCACACAAAACUGCGACGUAGUGCUAUUUUGUUCGGCAACCCGUUUGGUAGGGUAACCAUACUUUCAACUAUAUUCAGCCGUAAUGGACGUGUUUUUAGGAUUCGUAAGAUUUAUCUUGCUCGCUUUUCGUUGAACAUGCUGGGCGCAUCCAUUUAUUACCACUAUGAACUCUGAUGAGAACUAUUUUACACAAAACUGCAAUGCAAUGCUAUUUUGUUCGGCAGCCCGUUUGGUAGGGUAACCGUACUUUCAACUAUAUUUAGCCGUAAUGGACGUGUUUUUAGGAUUCGUAAGAUUUAUCUUGCUCGCUUUUCGUUGAACAUGCUGGGCGCAUCCAUUUAUUACCACUAUGAACUCUGAUGAGAACUAUUUU